AACGAACGUUAGCGGCGCGCCUAACACAUGCAAGUCGAGCGAGAAAGGGAGCAAUCCCCGGUACAGCGGCGCACGGGUGAGGAACACGUAGGUAAUCUGCCUUCGAGUGGGGGAUAACCUUCCGAAAGGAGGGCUAAUACCGCAUAAGACCACGACCUCGCGAGGGGAUGAGGUCAAAGCCGGCCACUAUACAUAAGCUGGCGCUUGAAGAUGAGCCUGCGGCCCAUCAGCUAGUUGGUAGGGUAAUGGCCUACCAAGGCGUAGACGGGUAGCUGGUCUGAGAGGAUGAUCAGCCACACUGGAACUGAGACACGGUCCAGACUCCUACGGGAGGCAGCAGUGGGGAAUCUUGCGCAAUGGGCGAAAGCCUGACGCAGCGACGCCGCGUGGGUGAUGAAGGCC
This 402-nucleotide ribosomal RNA is filed under the name uncultured bacterium. Its description in RNAcentral is "bacterial SSU rRNA". It matches the Rfam family "Bacterial small subunit ribosomal RNA", at positions 29 to 416 of the family's 1533-position model. The record is from RNAcentral.